GAGUACGGCCGCAAGGCUGAAACUUAAAGGAAUUGGCGGGGGAGCACUACAACGGGUGGAGCCUGCGGUUUAAUUGGACUCAACGCCGGAAAACUCACCGGGGGCGACAGCAAUAUGUAGGUCAGGUUAAAGGUCUUACCUGAAUCGCUGAGAGGAGGUGCAUGGCCGUCGUCAGUUCGUACUGUGAAGCAUCCUGUUAAGUCAGGCAACGAGCAAGACCCGUGCCCACUGUUACCAGCAUAUCCUUUAUGGAUGAUGGGGACUCUGUGGGGACCGCUGCUGCUAAAGCAGAGGAAGGUGCGGGCUACGGUAGGUCAGUAUGCCCCGAAUCUCCCGGGCUACACGCGGGCUACAAUGGUUGGGACAAUGGGCAUCUACUCCGAAAGGAGUUGACAAUCUCUUAAACCCAAUCGUAGUUCGAAUUGAGGGUUGUAACUCGCCCUCAUGAAGCUGGAAUCCGUAGUAAUCGCGUUUCAACAUAGCGCGGUGAAUCUGUCCCUGCUCCUUGCACACACCGCCCGUCAAACCAUCCGAGUGAGGUAUGGGUGAGGGCACGAACUUAGUGUCGUGCUCGAACCUAAAUUCCGCAAGGAGGGUUAAGUCGUAACAAGGUAGCCGUAGGGGAAUCUGCGGCUGGAUCACCUCCU
Molecule: ribosomal RNA, 647 nt
Filed under: uncultured archaeon
Lineage: Archaea
Description: bacterial SSU rRNA
Rfam family: Archaeal small subunit ribosomal RNA
Source: RNAcentral